AGCGAACGCUGGCGGCAUGCCUAACACAUGCAAGUCGAACGAGAUCUUCGGGUCUAGUGGCGUACGGGUGCGUAACGCGUGGGAAUCUGCCCUUUGGUUCGGAAUAACAGUUGGAAACGACUGCUAAUACCGGAUGAUGACGAAAGUCCAAAGAUUUAUCGCCAGAGGAUGAGCCCGCGUAGGAUUAGCUAGUUGGUGUGGUAAAGGCGCACCAAGGCGACGAUCCUUAGCUGGUCUGAGAGGAUGAUCAGCCACACUGGGACAGAGACACGGCCCAGACUCCUGCGGGAGGCAGCAGUGGAGAAUAUUGGACAAGGGGCGAAAGCCUGAUCCAGCAAUGCCGCGUGAGUGAUGAAGGCCUUAGGGUUGUAAAGCUCUUUUACCGGGGAGGAUAAUGACAGUACCGGGAGAAUAAGCGCCGGCUAGCGCCGCGCCGGCCGCCCCCGAAA
RNAcentral lists this ribosomal RNA (449 nucleotides) under uncultured bacterium. RNAcentral's name for it is "partial 16S ribosomal RNA". It matches the Rfam family "Bacterial small subunit ribosomal RNA", at positions 29 to 523 of the family's 1533-position model. The record is from RNAcentral.